CACAGAUACUGCAGGUGUAACUUUGCUGCUCUCAGGGAGACAAUUUCAUGGAAAUCUUUCUGCAUCCCAGCUUCGGUGCAGUCCAGGAUCUCUGAGCACUUGUUUGUCACUGCUGUUUUGUGGUUAAGAGCUGGCAACUAAACUGUAGUGGUUACUGAUUGCCUGGCACAUGGGGCUGGAAGUCCCAGUUCUGCGUUGAGCUCACACACUAUGCCUGUGCCUGGGAAGAGCUGGCUGUCUUGGAACAAGAGGAACACUAGAUGCUGGGACUGAUGUCGAGAGCUCAGCAGAAACCUCCCAGGGAAUGGCAUCAUUCCGGGCUGUACAAUGCACUGCUUCUGCUCCCACAGCUACAUGGCUGUUCUUCCCUUACAAUGCCUAGCUGUGUUUCUUUUCAUCUUUCUUCUCUUUUUUCCAUGCUGCCUAUUCAUUUAUUUUCACCUCCUGUUUUAAUCCUUUAGUCCUUCAUGUGUGCUGCAUGUGCCUUACUAACCAGUGGUUCCUGCAAAGCCUGCAGCUGCUUCAGUGCAACAGGACCUGGACAAGAACGAGGCUGCAUUCUGCUGGGAUCCAUGUGCCACUGAUUCACGCUGGGAGUUCAGGGUGUCUACGACUGAGUACACUACAAACCCGUUAUAACACUGUUAUCAUCUCAGACUCCUUGAGAAUAUUUUGGGAGUCAAGACUGGGCCCGGUGUUCAUGUGAGUCAGUCAAGUAGCAUGAUGCUUAGUUUGAUCCACAGUAACUGAACUCUGACAGAAAAGCAGAUGGGGUACCACAGACACCAAGCUAAGAUGCAGUUACCACAAGCUACAGGAUACAGGAGCGUCCAUGCCGCUGGCUCUGCCCAAAAGACAAAUCUCCUGCUCGAGUGUUCUCUGUCCACAUAGGACAGAGACCAGCAUAUGUACAGUAUUUGUAAAAUUAGAGAAUUUCACCAUGAGUUACUGUGCCACCACAAAGCCACCUCUUCAUUUGAACCUUAGUAGAGACCCCUUCAAUUUUUUUACAGCUACAUAUUUAAUAUAUAGAAAAUACGAGUUCAUUAAAAAUAAAUGUAUUUCUCUCUAGGAAGUCUCUGGCUUAAAUGCCCAUUUUUCAAACAUUAUAUAUGAAAAUGCUCGAGUCCUGCAGUGGGUCACCAAUUAAAAUUUUGAUUUGAAGAUCAGCCUACAAGUCACAGACAGCCUCAUAAAGAUGUAACUAUCAUAACUUGCCUUUUCCCAGUUGGAACUGUAAGGUGAACGCUUCUGAAGCACCUAAUGUAUGACUAAUGUUUGUUUGUUUUACAAGAAGCUUUACAGCUGCAGUGUUCCAAGAAUGCUUAAAUUCAAUAAACAGCUAUUAUAAUUCACAGAAUGGUAGCAUUUCCUCUGUAAGCAAACAUAACCUAUCCAUCCUGAUUUUUCAGAAUCAGUAAAAAACUUCCAGGUAUAUAACCUCAGAAGUGAGAUUUAAACAGCUCCAGCUCCUACCUCGUUGGCUGUAUAAACAGUACAGCCAGAUGCUGGCAUUCUAAAUUGAUGAGGCAAUCCUCCAUACAAAUUAUUUAGAGGCAUACUUUUUACUUACGUUGCAAGUGAUGUUAUUUGGCGUAUUAUACCGUACCACAACUCAUGCAGCGGAGGAUUUAAUGGGUGUGAUGGUCCCUCUGAGCAGACCUCAAAUUGGUACAUAUAAACUACAUUAUUUUACUACUGUAUGACUUCCCCCAAAUGUAUCCCCACAAAUUUUCUCACCUGUCUUUCCCAGUUUCCCGUUUAAAAAGGUCAUCAAAUUGAAGCAUCUUGUGGCGAGAAAUCAUG
Long non-coding RNA from Tympanuchus pallidicinctus (lesser prairie-chicken), 1806 nucleotides. RefSeq lists it as uncharacterized. The transcript is spliced from 3 exons. NCBI's taxonomy places the organism in Eukaryota, Metazoa, Chordata, Aves, Galliformes, Phasianidae. The record is from RefSeq and is a predicted model, not a curated record.